RNAcentral lists this non-coding RNA (150 nucleotides) under human gut metagenome. Its description in RNAcentral is "RT-14 RNA". It matches the Rfam family "RT-14 RNA". Rfam says of the family: Cloacimonetes, Firmicutes, Proteobacteria. The record is from RNAcentral.
CUCUAAUAUUGAGUCAGAUUAUAUAAUUUAUGGAUUAUAUACAGUACAAGUAUUAGAUAUUAAAGGAGUUUUAUUCCUUCUUAAGAAUUUCUUAAGUAAAUAAUAAAUUGUGAGCAUAUGUGCUAGUAGGUUGAAAAUCGAAUGUAUGUA